Molecule: ribosomal RNA, 515 nt
Filed under: uncultured bacterium
Lineage: Bacteria
Description: partial 16S ribosomal RNA
Rfam family: Bacterial small subunit ribosomal RNA
Source: RNAcentral
GAUGAACGCUGGCGGCGUGCCUAAUACACGCAAGUCGAGCGAAUGGAUUAAGAGCUUGCUCUUAUGAAGUUAGCGGCGGACGGGUGAGUAACACGUGGGUAACCUGCCCAUAAGACUGGGAUAACUCCGGGAAACCGGGGCUAAUACCGGAUAACACUUUGAACCGCAUGGUUCGAAAUUGAAAGGCGGCUUCGGCUGUCACUUAUGGAUGGACCCGCGUCGCAUUAGCUAGUUGGUGAGGUAACGGCUCACCAAGGCAACGAUGCGUAGCCGACCUGGGAGGGUGAGCGGCCACGCUGGGACUGAGACACGGCCCAGACUCCUACGGGAGGCAGCAGUAGGGAAGCUUCCGCAAUGGACGAAAGUCUGACGGAGCAACGCCGCGUGAGUGAUGAAGGCUUUCGGGUCGUAAAACUCUGUUGUUAGGGAAGAACAAGUGCUAGUUGAAUAAGCUGGCACCUUGACGGUACCUAACCAGAAAGCCACGGCUAACUACGUGCCAGCAGCCGCGGUAA